This 456-nucleotide ribosomal RNA is filed under the name uncultured microorganism. RNAcentral's name for it is "bacterial SSU rRNA". It matches the Rfam family "Bacterial small subunit ribosomal RNA", at positions 346 to 792 of the family's 1533-position model. The record is from RNAcentral.
GCGCAGCAGUCGCGAAUAGUCUACAAUGGACGAAAGUCUGAUAGUGCGACGCCGUGUGUGCGAUUAAUUCCUUCGGGAUGUAAAGCACUUUUCUAUGAGAUAAAAGCUCUUUAGGUUAAUAGCUUAUUGAGACGGAUAUUAUUAUAGGAAUAAGCUCCGGCUAACUCCGUGCCAGCAGCCGCGGUAAUACGGAAGGAGCGAGCGUUGUCCGGAUUUACUAGGCGUAAAGGGCUAGUAGGCGACUAAUUAAGUUAUAUGUUAAAUCCCACGGCUCAACUGUGGUCCUGCAUGUAAUACUGGUUAGAUAGAGUACUGUAGAGGAAGGCAGAAUUCCUGGAGUAGCGGUGGAAUGCGCAGAUAUCAGGAAGAAUACCAAAAGCGAAGGCAGCCUUCUGGGCAGUUACUGACGCUGAAUAGCGAAGGUGUGGGUAGCGAACAGGAUUAGAUACCCGCGUA